UUUCUUCUAUUCUUUUCUCUAUACGUUGGUGUUCUAACCAAUAAUCACCAAAGCGAUGUUCUGUCCGAUUGAUUCAGGAAUCAACUAACGAAUGCCAAAGUGUUGUACUUUGUGAAUUUCGGUAAACGGAAUCCAAAGUGUUAUACUUUGUGAGUUCGUUAAAUGGAUGCCAAAGUACUAUACUUUGUGAGUUCGUUAAACGGAUGCCAAAGUACUAUACUUUGUGAGUUCGUUAAACGGAUGCCAAAGUACUAUACUUUGUGAAUUCUGUUAAGGUUCGAAUCUCGUGACUACCGUUAAGGUUUGAUUUGGGUUUUACACAAAUACGUAUUCCAUUCUGUUAAACUAUAUGUUUAACUACCAGAAUACUCCCAACCACACACUUACAAUUAAAACAAGCUAUUAAAACAUCAGAAGAUCCAGAACAAUAAAGUAUACGCUUAAUUAUUAGAAGAUGUAGAAUCAAGAAGCUUGUUAAAUCAAUACUGCAUGCUUAUACUGGACUAAGUCGUGAAUAUAUUGAAUCACUGGCUAGUGGGGUAUUGUGCACAUUACUAAUUUGCUCCCAGUUAGGUUCAUUGACCUACUAGGGAUAAUCAUCACUAUUUAGGUUCAUUGAUCUAAUAGUGGUAUGACCAUCGUCACCAUUGUGACUUGUCACCAUUGUGACAGAGUGCCAGAUAAAAAUAAGAUAUAAACCAUUGUAAUCGCUCUUAUGCUGUAAUUUGUAACUAAGAAUCAUUUUAUAAAACCUGAAUGAACUCACUCAGUAUUUCUCCGCUGACAAAACCUCUUUAAAACACGUUUCAGGUAAUUACAGUAGAUUGGAGUAAGGAUUGGAUCCGGCUCUGAAAGACUUCAAGAAGUGGCUUAUUUUAUUAAUUAAAUCAACUUAAGAAAUAUUGUUUUUGGGUUUAUCCCGUAUUAAAAGCUACCUUUGUAAAACAUGGAAUUUAUUCCAUCUAUUUAAAUAAAAUCCGGUGUUUUUAAACUCUGAUAUUUUUCCUAACUCACGGUCCUGAUGAAAUUCCCGCUGCAACGUUUUC
This 1046-nucleotide long non-coding RNA is filed under the name Helianthus annuus (common sunflower). RNAcentral describes it as "hypothetical non coding rna". The record is from RNAcentral. Lineage: Eukaryota; Viridiplantae; Streptophyta; Magnoliopsida; Asterales; Asteraceae.